GUUUUAUAUCUUGUUAAUUUAUAUUUUGAUAAAAAAAUUAUGUUUGAAAAGUAAUUUAUAAGAAUAAUUGUUAGUAGUUGUUAACGAAUAUUUGUAUAAUAUGGCUAUAGAGAAGAAUACUGUGAGAGGAAAGAUUUAUAAAUAAGUUAAAAAUAGUUAAGUAGAGGUUAAGUUUUGUACCUUGGGUAUCAGGGAAAAUUAAUAUAUUAUUAAAUAUUAUUAGAGAUCUCGAAAUAAAAAUAGCUAAUUUUAUAAGAAAGUUUUUAUAACAUAAAAAUUUUUAAUAUAAAAUUAGAGGUGAAAUGCUAGUCGAGUUUUAUGAUAUCUGGUUCUUUAGGAAAUAAAUAUAAUUUAGUUUUUAUAGUUAAUUUAUAUAAAUAGAAAAAAUAGAAGGGAUAAGCUUUUUGUUUUAAAAAUAGCUGAAAUAAAUAAAAUAAAUUAAUCUAAGCUUGAAAGUAGCUAUGUUUAUAAAGUGUUUUAACUAAAAAUUAAUAUAAUAUUAUUUUUAUAAAGCUUUUAUAAAUACUAGAGAUUUAUUUAAAAUAAAAUAUGAAAAGAUAAAAUGAUUUUAUUAGUAGAAAUAUAAUAUUUAAAUAAUUAGAUUGAUUAAUGGAGAAAUUAUUUUAAUAAUUAGGUGAUAUAGAGGAAUUCGGCAAAUAUAUUUCUUUGCCUGUUUAUCAAAAACAUGUUUGUUUGAAGAUAUAGGUAAUCUGGCCUGCCCCCUGAUUUUAAAAUUAAAGGGCCGCAGUAUUAUAACUGUGCAAAGGUAGCAUAAUCAUUAGGUUUUUAAUUGGAAUCUUGUAUGAAUGGUCGGACAAAAGAAAAACUCUCUUUAUAUUAAAUUUUAAAUUUAACUUUUAAGUGAAAAGGCUUAAAUACACUAAAGGGACGAUAAGACCCUAUAAAACUUUACAUUGUAAUUAUAUUUUAGUAAAUUUAUAAAAUAAAAAUUUAAUUUAAUUAUUUGUUAUGUUGGGGAGACAUAAGUAAACAUUAUUUUAACUGCUUUUAUAAUAAAACAAUUAUUAAUGAAUAGAGUAAUGAGAUCCUUUUUAAAGAUUAAUAGAUUAAGUUACUUUAGGGAUAACAGCGUAAUUUCUUUUGAGAGUCCUUAUCGAAAAAGAAGAUUGCGACCUCGAUGUUGAAUUAAAAUAUCUAUAUAAUGGAGAGGUUAUAUAAGAAGGUCUGUUCGACCUUUAAAAUUUUACAUGAUUUGAGUUCAAACCGGUGUGAGCCAGGUUGGUUUCUAUCUUUUAGAAUAGGAAGGAUYAUUUUAGUACGAAAGGAGUAAAUAAUUAAAAUAAUUUUAAAGGUU
RNAcentral lists this ribosomal RNA (1315 nucleotides) under Apotamonautes hainanensis. RNAcentral's name for it is "16S ribosomal RNA". The stretch from base 621 to 1315 matches the Rfam family "Archaeal large subunit ribosomal RNA", at positions 1424 to 2794 of the family's 2987-position model. The record is from RNAcentral. Lineage: Eukaryota; Metazoa; Arthropoda; Malacostraca; Decapoda; Potamidae.